Molecule: unclassified non-coding RNA, 286 nt
Filed under: Hevea brasiliensis (rubber tree)
Lineage: Eukaryota; Viridiplantae; Streptophyta; Magnoliopsida; Malpighiales; Euphorbiaceae
Source: RNAcentral
AAAAUCGAGGUGUUUUUCCCCUAAUAAAAGGAAUAGUUCAGACCUUUAAACUUUUAUAAUUGAUAUCUCACACUUUCCCAUAUGAGCUUGUCAAGUGCAUGAUUCGAAAUUGAAUAUGAGAAAAUAAGCAUAAAGUGAAUAAGGCACGCAUCUCAAGUGCCUAAGUAAUACGUGGAUAAAGUUGCUUUGCCUUGAGGUAGGUGAGGCCCUUUGGCACUGCUCCAUUUCAUGUGGGCACGUAGAUGAGUGCUUGGCUUGUCAUUGAUGACAUUGGGGGAACCUGGUU